Molecule: ribosomal RNA, 2236 nt
Filed under: Salmonella enterica subsp. enterica serovar Enteritidis str. 576709
Lineage: Bacteria; Pseudomonadati; Pseudomonadota; Gammaproteobacteria; Enterobacterales; Enterobacteriaceae
Description: bacterial LSU rRNA
Rfam family: Bacterial large subunit ribosomal RNA
Source: RNAcentral
UGACUGCGUACCUUUUGUAUAAUGGGUCAGCGACUUAUAUUCUGUAGCAAGGUUAACCGAAUAGGGGAGCCGGAGGGAAACCGAGUCUUAACCUUGGGCGUUAAGUUGCAGGGUAUAGACCCGAAACCCGGUGAUCUAGCCAUGGGCAGGUUGAAGGUUGGGUAACACUAACUGGAGGACCGAACCGACUAAUGUUGAAAAAUUAGCGGAUGACCUGUGGCUGGGGGUGAAAGGCCAAUCAAACCGGGAGAUAGCUGGUUCUCCCCGAAAGCUAUUUAGGUAGCGCCUCGUGAAUUCAUCUCCGGGGGUAGAGCACUGUUUCGGCUAGGGGGCCAUCCCGGCUUACCAACCCGAUGCAAACUGCGAAUACCGGAGAAUGUUAUCACGGGAGACACACGGCGGGUGCUAACGUCCGUCGUGAAGAGGGAAACAACCCAGACCGCCAGCUAAGGUCCCAAAGUCAUGGUUAAGUGGGAAACGAUGUGGGAAGGCCCAGACAGCCAGGAUGUUGGCUUAGAAGCAGCCAUCAUUUAAAGAAAGCGUAAUAGCUCACUGGUCGAGUCGGCCUGCGCGGAAGAUGUAACGGGGCUAAACCAUGCACCGAAGCUGCGGCAGCGACACUGUGUGUUGUUGGGUAGGGGAGCGUUCUGUAAGCCUGUGAAGGUGUGUCGUGAGGCAUGCUGGAGGUAUCAGAAGUGCGAAUGCUGACAUAAGUAACGAUAAAGCGGGUGAAAAGCCCGCUCGCCGGAAGACCAAGGGUUCCUGUCCAACGUUAAUCGGGGCAGGGUGAGUCGACCCCUAAGGCGAGGCCGAAAGGCGUAGUCGAUGGGAAACGGGUUAAUAUUCCCGUACUUGGUGUUACUGCGAAGGGGGGACGGAGAAGGCUAUGUUGGCCGGGCGACGGUUGUCCCGGUUUAAGCGUGUAGGUGUGUGUUCCAGGUAAAUCCGGUUCACUUUAACACUGAGGCGUGACGACGAGGCACUACGGUGCUGAAGCAACAAAUGCCCUGCUUCCAGGAAAAGCCUCUAAGCAUCAGGUAACAUCAAAUCGUACCCCAAACCGACACAGGUGGUCAGGUAGAGAAUACCAAGGCGCUUGAGAGAACUCGGGUGAAGGAACUAGGCAAAAUGGUGCCGUAACUUCGGGAGAAGGCACGCUGACACGUAGGUGAAGUGAUUUACUCAUGGAGCUGAAGUCAGUCGAAGAUACCAGCUGGCUGCAACUGUUUAUUAAAAACACAGCACUGUGCAAACACGAAAGUGGACGUAUACGGUGUGACGCCUGCCCGGUGCCGGAAGGUUAAUUGAUGGGGUCAGCGCAAGCGAAGCUCCUGAUCGAAGCCCCGGUAAACGGCGGCCGUAACUAUAACGGUCCUAAGGUAGCGAAAUUCCUUGUCGGGUAAGUUCCGACCUGCACGAAUGGCGUAAUGAUGGCCAGGCUGUCUCCACCCGAGACUCAGUGAAAUUGAACUCGCUGUGAAGAUGCAGUGUACCCGCGGCAAGACGGAAAGACCCCGUGAACCUUUACUAUAGCUUGACACUGAACAUUGAGCCUUGAUGUGUAGGAUAGGUGGGAGGCUUUGAAGUGUGGACGCCAGUCUGCAUGGAGCCGACCUUGAAAUACCACCCUUUAAUGUUUGAUGUUCUAACGUGGACCCGUUACCCGGGUUGCGGACAGUGUCUGGUGGGUAGUUUGACUGGGGCGGUCUCCUCCUAAAGAGUAACGGAGGAGCACGAAGGUUGGCUAAUCCUGGUCGGACAUCAGGAGGUUAGUGCAAUGGCAUAAGCCAGCUUGACUGCGAGCGUGACGGCGCGAGCAGGUGCGAAAGCAGGUCAUAGUGAUCCGGUGGUUCUGAAUGGAAGGGCCAUCGCUCAACGGAUAAAAGGUACUCCGGGGAUAACAGGCUGAUACCGCCCAAGAGUUCAUAUCGACGGCGGUGUUUGGCACCUCGAUGUCGGCUCAUCACAUCCUGGGGCUGAAGUAGGUCCCAAGGGUAUGGCUGUUCGCCAUUUAAAGUGGUACGCGAGCUGGGUUUAGAACGUCGUGAGACAGUUCGGUCCCUAUCUGCCGUGGGCGCUGGAGAACUGAGGGGGGCUGCUCCUAGUACGAGAGGACCGGAGUGGACGCAUCACUGGUGUUCGGGUUGUCAUGCCAAUGGCACUGCCCGGUAGCUAAAUGCGGAAGAGAUAAGUGCUGAAAGCAUCUAAGCACGAAACUUGCCCCGAGAUGAGUUCU